Molecule: ribosomal RNA, 465 nt
Filed under: uncultured bacterium
Lineage: Bacteria
Description: partial 16S ribosomal RNA
Rfam family: Bacterial small subunit ribosomal RNA
Source: RNAcentral
GACGAACGCUGGCGGCGUGCUUAACACAUGCAAGUCGAACGGAAAGGCCCUGCUUGCAGGGUACUCGAGUGGCGAACGGGCGAGUAACACGUGGGUGAUCUGCCCUGCACUUCGGGAUAAGCCUGGGAAACUGGGUCUAAUACCGGAUAGGAGCCAUUUUUAGUGUGAUGGUUGGAAAGUUUUUUCGGUGUAGGAUGAGCUCGCGGCCUAUCAGCUUGUUGGUGGGGUAAUGGCCUACCAAGGCGGCGACGGGUAGCCGGCCUGAGAGGGUGGACGGCCACAUUGGGACUGAGAUACGGCCCAGACUCCGACGGGAGGCAGCAGUGGGGAAUAUUGCACAAUGGGCGCAAGCCUGAUGCAGCGACGCCGCGUGGGGGAUGACGGCCUUCGGGUUGUAAACUCCUUUCGCUAGGGACGAAGCUUUUUGUGACGGUACCUAGAUAAGAAGCACCGGCUAACUACGUG